Long non-coding RNA from Carassius gibelio (silver crucian carp), 1167 nucleotides. RefSeq lists it as uncharacterized. The transcript is spliced from 5 exons. Lineage: Eukaryota; Metazoa; Chordata; Actinopteri; Cypriniformes; Cyprinidae. The record is from RefSeq and is a predicted model, not a curated record.
AUUAGCAUUAGCAUGUUUCUCACCAGUCUGUCAGUUCCUCAUCUCUCUCUCCAGCAAGUAACCCCAGAGUGCAGUCUGGACGAUGGGGCGGGGCGACACUUCGAGGCGGAGCGACACGUGUCGCCCCGCCCAUAUUUGUUUUCCCCGCCUUUGACAUUUUUCUCCGAGCCAGCAGGGGGCAGUUUGCGUUGAAACAAACAGAACGGUGGCAACUACAGCAGCAGAGUAAUAACGCUAUUCCGUUGAUUGCUUGAGGAUGACAUGAUCAGGAGGUGGUGGUGUUCUGUUCUCCUGGACAGCUUUACUCCGCAAAUAGCUCAACCACUGAGGGGAGGAACUUCACCAUUCACCAUGUCUUCAGGCAGAGUCCAGCAAAGCAGCUUCCACUGGAAAUCCUCAGGGAAGUUAUUUUGUCGGCUGGUGACUCUGCAUAUUUGACACUUUCUCUGGUUUGCAGAUGGUUUAGGGAUGUGCUCCGAAGUUUUUCGGAAAGCGGCACAGUUUGCCUGGCUAGACAUUGUGGCCAACUGGAAGCAUUGUCCUCCUGUCUCCUGACCGGAACGAGUUCAGACGGAUGUACAGCAUCAGGGAAUGCGUGCAGUGCAGAGCCCUUUUCAAGUUUAACCCACCAGGGUACAGGGAAGAGGCCGGCGUGGUGAUCUUCUGGGCUUUUGUUUACACAGGAUUUUGUUCCAAGGACUGUUUUUUUUUUUGCGGCAUGAAACACAUUUGUGUGUUAAGUUCAUUGAAGGGAAAUAGAGAAUGGACUGAGAUCAACUGGUUUUGAUGUAUUAAUUGAUGUCAUUUAAAGUUAAACUUUGCAGUGUAUAAUGUUUUAAUAAAAAAACUAUGGAAAACACGUGCAUGAUAACAGGUUUCAGUCAUUUACAUCAGUCUAUCAUUCUUUAAGGUUUCUCAUAUUUGAUGAUAACAUGAUUUGCUAUGCAUUGCUCAUAAUGGAUUCUUAAUUUAGUUGUGACAGGAUUGUGAGGAUUAAUGAGGUUUUCAGUAGUGCAGUUCAUCAGAAAACAAAUAACAGAAAGUAACAAGUGUUUUUGGGCAAGUUCUUUAGAACCUGUAUAGUUCCUUCCUUGCAAAAAGUAACCAUGGAUUUAUUGUAGUAAAAAUAUUUGUUGGCAUAUUAAUUACUGUGAGCUGUAAUUAUAA